GGGGAUUUAGCUCAGUGGCAUAAGCACCUGCCUUGCAAGCAGGCAGUCGUAAGUUCGAUCCCAGGUCCCG
This is a transfer RNA of Cavia porcellus (domestic guinea pig), 70 nucleotides long. It matches the Rfam family "tRNA". From Rfam's summary of the family: Transfer RNA (tRNA) molecules are approximately 80 nucleotides in length. Their secondary structure includes four short double-helical elements and three loops (D, anti-codon, and T loops). Further hydrogen bonds mediate the characteristic L-shaped molecular structure. tRNAs have two regions of fundamental functional importance: the anti-codon, which is responsible for specific mRNA codon recognition, and the 3' end, to which the tRNAs corresponding amino acid is attached (by aminoacyl-tRNA synthetases). tRNAs cope with the degeneracy of the genetic code in two manners: having more than one tRNA (with a specific anti-codon) for a particular amino acid; and 'wobble' base-pairing, i.e. permitting non-standard base-pairing at the 3rd anti-codon position. NCBI's taxonomy places the organism in Eukaryota, Metazoa, Chordata, Mammalia, Rodentia, Caviidae. The record is from Rfam.